Molecule: ribosomal RNA, 446 nt
Filed under: uncultured bacterium
Lineage: Bacteria
Description: partial 16S ribosomal RNA
Rfam family: Bacterial small subunit ribosomal RNA
Source: RNAcentral
CCUACGGGCGGCAGCAGUCGAGAAUCAUUCACAAUGGGGGAAACCCUGAUGGUGCGACGCCGCGUGGGGGAAUGAAGGUCUUCGGAUUGUAAACCCCUGUCAUGUGGGAGCAAAUUAAAAAGAUAGUACCCCAAGAGGAAGAGACGGCUAACUCUGUGCCAGCAGCCGCGGUAAUACAGAGGUCUCAAGCGUUGUUCGGAAUCACUGGGCGUAAAGCGUGCGUAGGCUGUUGCGUAAGUCGUGUGUGAAAGGCGCGGGCUCAACCCGCGGACGGCACAUGAUACUGCGAGACUAGAGUAAUGGAGGGGGAACCGGAAUUCUCGGUGUAGCAGUGAAAUGCGUAGAUAUCGAGAGGAACACUCGUGGCGAAGGCGGGUUCCUGGACAUUAACUGACGCUGAGGCACGAAGGCCAGGGGAGCGAAAGGGAUUAGAUACCCUAGUAGUC